GAGUUUGAUCCUGGCUCAGGAUGAACGCUGGCGGCGUGCCUAAUACAUGCAAGUCGAGCGAACAGAUAAGGAGCUUGCUCCUUUGACGUUAGCGGCGGACGGGUGAGUAACACGUGGGUAACCUACCUAUAAGACUGGAAUAACUCCGGGAAACCGGGGCUAAUGCCGGAUAACAUUUAGAACCGCAUGGUUCUAAAGUAAAAGAUGGUUUUGCUAUCACUUAUAGAUGGACCCGCGCCGUAUUAGCUAGUUGGUAAGGUAACGGCUUACCAAGGCAACGAUACGUAGCCGACCUGAGAGGGUGAUCGGCCACACUGGAACUGAGACACGGUCCAGACUCCUACGGGAGGCAGCAGUAGGGAAUCUUCCGCAAUGGGCGAAAGCCUGACGGAGCAACGCCGCGUGAGUGAUGAAGGUCUUCGGAUCGUAAAACUCUGUUAUUAGGGAAGAACAAAUGUGUAAGUAACUGUGCACGUCUUGACGGUACCUAAUCAGAAAGCCACGGCUAACUACGUGCCAGCAGCCGCGGUAAUACGUAGGUGGCAAGCGUUAUCCGGAAUUAUUGGGCGUAAAGCGCGCGUA
This 582-nucleotide ribosomal RNA is filed under the name uncultured bacterium. Its description in RNAcentral is "bacterial SSU rRNA". It matches the Rfam family "Bacterial small subunit ribosomal RNA", at positions 9 to 573 of the family's 1533-position model. The record is from RNAcentral.